UCCGCCCCUCCCCCACCCUCAAAAUGAGGGGGGGGAGGGGCUCAGAGGCAGCGCUGGUGGGGGAGGGGCCCCAGAACUGGGAGGGAACUGGGAUGGACUGGUUUGAACUGGUUUGAAAUGGGACAAACUGGGAUUGAACUGGGAGGAACUGGGAGGGGAUUGGGACAAAUUCGGACAAACUGGGAUUGAACUGGUUUGAACUGGGAGAGAUUUGGAUUGAACUGGGAUGGACUGGGAUUGAACUGGUUUGAACUGGGAGGGACUGGGCUGGACUGGGAGGGACCGGGAUUGAACUGGGCUGAGAUAAUGGACACUGGGAUAGACUGGGAUUGAACUGGGAUGGACUGGUUUGAACUGGGAUGGGAGACAAUAGGAUACUGGUUUGAACUGGUUUGAACUGGGAUUGAACUGGGCCAGGAUAAUGGGCUGAGCUGGGAUUGAACUGGGUGGGGACUGGGAAAGGACAAUGGGAUGAACUGGGAUGGACUGGGGUUGAACUGGGACAAACUGGGAUGGACUGAAGGCACUGGGAGGGACCGGUUUGAACUGGUUUGAACUGGUUUGAACUGGGAGCUCUGGGGGCUCAAGGCCACACCGAGGUUUUUUCAAAAAACCUCAAAAAACGGCCCCAAAACAGCAGGGGAGGGGGCGGGGCCAGAGAGCCUGGGGGCGGGGCUGAGCACCAGGGGGCGGGGCCGGAGCACCAGGGGGCGGGGUUAUAGAGCCUGGGGGCGGGGCCAUAUGACCCAGGGGAGGGGCCAGAGUGCCUGGCACAGGUGGGGGAGGGGCACAGGUGGGACACAGGUGUGCCAGGUGUGCCCAGGUGUCCCCAGGUGUCCCAGGUGUCCCCAGGUGUCACUCGCGGAUGCUGGCCGAGUAGGAGAACUGUGGGAAAUGCGUCUGAUGGUCGCAGUCCGGGGAGUCCAGGAGCUCACCUGGGGACAGG
This 946-nucleotide long non-coding RNA is filed under the name Junco hyemalis (dark-eyed junco). RNAcentral's name for it is "lncRNA (ENSJHYG00000004646.1)". Lineage: Eukaryota; Metazoa; Chordata; Aves; Passeriformes; Passerellidae. The record is from RNAcentral.